This 863-nucleotide long non-coding RNA is filed under the name Coturnix japonica (Japanese quail). RNAcentral describes it as "lncRNA (ENSCJPG00005003110.1)". The record is from RNAcentral. Lineage: Eukaryota; Metazoa; Chordata; Aves; Galliformes; Phasianidae.
AUCAGCAAAGCAGGGGAGGUUGUACAGACCCAUUUCUGUCCAGUGUACCUGAUGAAGAAUUACAUAAAUUAUACUAAGACCUAAAUCCCGAGGCUUAUGAGUAAAUAAACAUCUCUCCGUUGCAUCACAGCCACCCUUUCAUUUCACUAGAGACAGCUGCUCUAACUGCCCCAAGCAUUGGAGGAAGAGGAAGAGGGGGGGGGGAGGUCAAAAAUUAGAAGAAAAAAUAAAGAACAGAACCCGGCCCAAGCUUGGCGGUUUUUAAUGCGGUUUCUCUCGCUGGAGGAAGGGAGGGGGGAUUAAAAACGGCGGAGAAGUGAGCGCUCUGCGGUGGGGAAGAGCGGGGUGAGGUCGGGCUGCGGGACAGCGCGCCCUGGGUAGCAGAACCGAACCGAACCGAACCGAACCGCGCGGAGCCGUUCCCUCCCUCCCCGCUGCCGCGGCGGCUCCGGAGCUCGGGGGGCGGGCAGACCGGGCUCGCCUCGCCUCUGUUUUGGAGGGCGGGGGAGGAAGCGGAGCCGGCGGCCGUGGGUUGUUUUAGGGUUUGCUUUGGAGCGGGGAAGCCGGGAGCGCAGCCGGUGCGCACAGCCCCGAGUCUGGGGGCGAAGUUCCGCUGCGGGGGCAGCCCGUCUCCUCCAACCCCUCCGCGGCACAACUUUCCUGCUCGGCCCCAGCAUGAACCAGACGGCUGGGGUGUCCAACAACGUGCGCUGCUCCAGCGGCAAGGGGCCCAAGGGUAUUAUUUAUUUACUUAUUUAACUGUUUACUCCAAGGAUCUCAAGAACUGCACUUUGUCAUGAGGCAUGUUUCUAUGCUGGCUAAUGGGAUGCACCUUAAGGAAAUACAGAAUUUAUGGUUAGCUG